AUACGUAGGGGGCGAGCGUGGUCCGGAAUGAUUGGGCGUAAAGGGCGCGUAGGCGGCCCGGUAAGUCUGGAGUGAAAGUCCUGUUUUUAAGAUGGGAAUUGCUUUGGAUACUGUCGGGCUUGAGUGCAGGAGAGGUAAGUGGAAUUCCCAGUGUAGCGGUGAAAUGCGUAGAGAUUGGGAGGAACACCAGUGGCGAAGGCGACUUACUGGACUGUAACUGACGCUGAGGCGCGAAAGUGUGGGGAGCAAACAGGAUUAGAUACCCUGGUAGUCCACACUGUAAACGAUGAAUGCUAGGUGUAAGAGGUAUCGACCCCUUUUGUGCCGGAGUCAACACAAUAAGCAUUCCGCCUGGGGAGUACGGCCGCAAGGUUGAAACUCAAAUGAAUUGACGGGG
This 397-nucleotide ribosomal RNA is filed under the name uncultured bacterium. RNAcentral's name for it is "partial 16S ribosomal RNA". It matches the Rfam family "Bacterial small subunit ribosomal RNA", at positions 523 to 918 of the family's 1533-position model. The record is from RNAcentral.